Molecule: ribosomal RNA, 931 nt
Filed under: Parasteatoda tepidariorum (common house spider)
Lineage: Eukaryota; Metazoa; Arthropoda; Arachnida; Araneae; Theridiidae
Description: SSU rRNA
Rfam family: Eukaryotic small subunit ribosomal RNA
Source: RNAcentral
CCGCAGUAGUCAUAUGCUUGUCUCAAAGAUUAAGCCAUGCAUGUCUAAGUACGUGCCGUAUUAAGGCGAAACCGCGAAUGGCUCAUUAAAUCAGUUAUGGUUCCUUGGAUCGUACUUUACUACUUGGAUAACUGUGGCAAUUCUAGAGCUAAUACAUGCAGCAGAGCUCCGACCUUCGGGGACGAGCGCUUUUAUUAGACCAAAACCAAUCGGGCCUCGUGUCCGUGAAACGUGGUGACUCUGUAUAACUUUGGGCUGAUCGCACGGGCUCGUCCCGGCGACGUAUCCUUCAAGUGUCUGCCUUAUCAACUGUCGAUGGUAGGUUAUGCGCCUACCAUGGUCGUAACGGGUGACGGGGAAUCAGGGUUCGAUUCCGGAGAGGGAGCCUGAGAAACGGCUACCACAUCCAAGGAAGGCAGCAGGCGCGCAAAUUACCCAAUCCCGGCACGGGGAGGUAGUGACGAAAAAUAACAAUACGGGACUCUUUUGAGACCCCGUAAUUGGAAUGAGUACACUCUAAAUCCUUUAACGAUUAUCAAUUGGAGGGCAAGCCUAGUGCCAGCAGCCGCGGUAAUUCUAGCUCCAAUAGCGUAUAUUAAAGUUGUUGCGGUUAAAAAGCUCGUAGUUGGAUCUCAGUUCCAGACGGGCGGUCCGCCUACCGGCGGUCACUGCCCGUUCUGAACAGGCCAGCCGGUUUCCCUUGAUGAUCUUCACCGGUUGUCUCGGGUGACCGGCAAGUUUACUUUGAAAAAAUUAGAGUGCUCAAAGCAGGCGCGACGCCUGAACAAUGGUGCAUGGAAUAAUGGAAUAGGACCUCGGUUCUAUUUUGUUGGUUUUCGGGACACGAGGUAAUGAUUAAGAGGGACAGACGGGGGCAUUCGUAUUGCGACGCUAGAGGUGAAAUUCUUGGACCGUCGCAAGACGACUAUGA